CCUACGGGAGGCUGCAGUGAGGAAUAUUGGUCAAUGGACGAGAGUCUGAACCAGCCAAGUAGCGUGAAGGAUGACUGCCCUAUGGGUUGUAAACUUCUUUUAUAAAGGAAUAAAACGAGGCACGUGUGCCUUUUUGCAUGUACUUUAUGAAUAAGGAUCGGCUAACUCCGUGCCAGCAGCCGCGGUACUACGGAGGAUCCGAGCGUUAUCCGGAUUUAUUGGGUUUAAAGGGAGCGUAGAUGGGUUGUUAAGUCAGUUGUGAAAGUUUGCGGCUCAACCGUAAAAUUGCAAUUGAUACUGGCAGUCUUGAGGACAGUUGAGGUAGGCGGAAUUCGUGGUGUAGCGGUGAAAUGCUUAGAUAUCACGAAGAACCCCGAUGGCGAAGGCAGCUUACUAAACUGUGACUGACAUUGAUGCUCGAAAGUGUGGGUAGCAAACAGGAUUAGAUACCCUUGUAGUC
Molecule: ribosomal RNA, 460 nt
Filed under: uncultured bacterium
Lineage: Bacteria
Description: partial 16S ribosomal RNA
Rfam family: Bacterial small subunit ribosomal RNA
Source: RNAcentral